UACGUAGGGGGCGAGCGUUGUCCGGAUUUAUUGGGCGUAAAGGGCGCGUAGGCGGCCGAUCAAGUCAGAGGUGAAAGCCCAAGGCUCAACCUUGGAAUUGCCUUUGAUACUGUUCGGCUAGAGACCGGAAGAGGUUAGUGGAACUGCGAGUGUAGAGGUGAAAUUCGUAGAUAUUCGCAAGAACACCAGUGGCGAAGGCGGCUAACUGGUCCGGUUCUGACGCUGAGGCGCGAAAGCGUGGGGAGCAAACAGG
Molecule: ribosomal RNA, 253 nt
Filed under: uncultured bacterium
Lineage: Bacteria
Description: partial 16S ribosomal RNA
Rfam family: Bacterial small subunit ribosomal RNA
Source: RNAcentral